AUACAUGCAGUCGAGCGAACUGAUUAGAAGCUUGCUUCUAUGACGUUAGCGGCGGACGGGUGAGUAACACGUGGGCAACCUGCCUGUAAGACUGGGAUAACUUCGGGAAACCGAAGCUAAUACCGGAUAGGAUCUUCUCCUUCAUGGGAGAUGAUUGAAAGAUGGUUUCGGCUAUCACUUACAGAUGGGCCCGCGGUGCAUUAGCUAGUUGGUGAGGUAACGGCUCACCAAGGCAACGAUGCAUAGCCGACCUGAGAGGGUGAUCGGCCACACUGGGACUGAGACACGGCCCAGACUCCUACGGGAGGCAGCAGUAGGGAAUCUUCCGCAAUGGACGAAAGUCUGACGGAGCAACGCCGCGUGAGUGAUGAAGGCUUUCGGGUCGUAAAACUCUGUUGUUAGGGAAGAACAAGUAUGAGAGUAACUGCUUGUACCUUGACGGUACCUAACCAGAAAGCCACGGCUAACUACGUGCCAGCAGCCGCGGUAAUACGUAGGUGGCAAGCGUUAUCCGGAAUUAUUGGGCGUAAAGCGCGCGCAGGCGGUUUCUUAAGUCUGAUGUGAAAGCCCACGGCUCAACCGUGGAGGGUCAUUGGAAACUGGGGAACUUGAGUGCAGAAGAGAAAAGCGGAAUUCCACGUGUA
RNAcentral lists this ribosomal RNA (644 nucleotides) under Priestia megaterium. RNAcentral describes it as "bacterial SSU rRNA". It matches the Rfam family "Bacterial small subunit ribosomal RNA", at positions 51 to 677 of the family's 1533-position model. The record is from RNAcentral. Lineage: Bacteria; Bacillati; Bacillota; Bacilli; Caryophanales; Bacillaceae.